UACGUAGGGGGCAAGCGUUGUCCGGAUUUAUUGGGCGUAAAGGGCGUGUAGGCGGCUAGGUAGGUCCGUUGUGAAAACUCGAGGCUCAACCUCGAGACGUCGAUGGAAACCAUCUAGCUAGAGUCCGGAAGAGGAGAGUGGAAUUCCUGGUGUAGCGGUGAAAUGCGCAGAUAUCAGGAAGAACACCCGUGGCGAAGGCGGCUCUCUGGUACGUGACUGACGCUGAGACGCGAAAGCGUGGGGAGCGAACAGG
This 253-nucleotide ribosomal RNA is filed under the name uncultured bacterium. RNAcentral describes it as "partial 16S ribosomal RNA". It matches the Rfam family "Bacterial small subunit ribosomal RNA", at positions 524 to 776 of the family's 1533-position model. The record is from RNAcentral.